GUUUUGUGUAGGUGAAUCUAAUGGCACCAGUAAUGACCACAGGCAAUGACUCUUCAGUUCUUAAAGAUGUUGUUGCCUAUGUUGAUGUUUGGUCAUCAGAUAAAACCGCAAACUAUUCAAAACCAUUCGUUCAGCAGCUGCAGGAAAUGGGAGCUGAGCUCCGAGCUAGAGCUUUUCUGGUUCAGCUCCGGUUUCCC
Molecule: long non-coding RNA, 197 nt
Organism: Notothenia coriiceps (black rockcod)
Lineage: Eukaryota; Metazoa; Chordata; Actinopteri; Perciformes; Nototheniidae
Exons: 3
Source: RefSeq, a predicted model, not a curated record